AGUCACUCCCAAUGCCAUUAAGAUGAUUAUAGUAUUUAUUAUUUGUAGUAAAUUCUCUACCAUAGAACUUAGGAUCUCUCUCUUUAGGGCAUUGUUUAUCCUAAAAAAAUAUUCUUAUGAGAAAAGCUGGUGGUACUUUUCAUCUCGACCUAAAUGUAAAUUUGGUCCUGCCCUUCUGUCUUCUAUACAUAACUGAAAAAAUUAUUUUUUUUUAUUUCUUCUAUGUUCUAUG
RNAcentral lists this long non-coding RNA (232 nucleotides) under Elaeis guineensis (African oil palm). Its description in RNAcentral is "long non-coding RNA (EGUI_LNC027272)". Lineage: Eukaryota; Viridiplantae; Streptophyta; Magnoliopsida; Arecales; Arecaceae. The record is from RNAcentral.